AGCCAUGCCGCGUGUAUGAAGAAGGCCUUCGGGUUGUAAAGUACUUUCAGCGGGGAGGAAGGUGUUGAGGUUAAUAACCUCAGCAAUUGACGUUACCCGCAGAAGAAGCACCGGCUAACUCCGUGCCAGCAGCCGCGGUAAUACGGAGGGUGCAAGCGUUAAUCGGAAUUACUGGGCGUAAAGCGCACGCAGGCGGUCUGUCAAGUCGGAUGUGAAAUCCCCGGGCUCAACCUGGGAACUGCAUUCGAAACUGGCAGGCUAGAGUCUUGUAGAGGGGGGUAGAAUUCCAGGUGUAACGGUGAAAUGCGUAAAGAUCUGGAGGAAUACCGGUGGCGAAGGCGGCCCCCUGGACCAAGACUGACGCUCAAGUGCGAAAGCGUGGGGAGCAAACAGGAUUAAAUACCCUGGUAAUCCACGCCGUAAACGAUGA
RNAcentral lists this ribosomal RNA (430 nucleotides) under uncultured Enterobacter sp. RNAcentral's name for it is "bacterial SSU rRNA". It matches the Rfam family "Bacterial small subunit ribosomal RNA", at positions 390 to 812 of the family's 1533-position model. The record is from RNAcentral. Lineage: Bacteria; Pseudomonadati; Pseudomonadota; Gammaproteobacteria; Enterobacterales; Enterobacteriaceae.